This 500-nucleotide long non-coding RNA is filed under the name Physcomitrium patens. RNAcentral's name for it is "long non-coding RNA (PPAT_LNC000020)". The record is from RNAcentral. Lineage: Eukaryota; Viridiplantae; Streptophyta; Bryopsida; Funariales; Funariaceae.
GCUAGGACUAGAUUUGUGAUUUCUUAGUAAUUGUGGUGGUAAUAUCGAUACUAGUAUUAAUUCUUUCUUUAAUUUUUGUGUAGUAGUUGGAAGAGCCAUUGUGAUUGGAUAGAGCUAUUAUAGUUGCAAUGGUAGAUCAUAUGAGUUAAAUUUUGUCUUCAAAUAAGGUUUAAAAGUAGUAGGUUGGAUCAAGGCUAGACUUAAGUUAAGAGGUUGUUGCUGUUAUUGAGCACAAAAAUUCUUCUAUAAGUCAAAAAAAGACUUAAAAUUGUACAUGAGCUAACAAAAAUUCUUGGAUUUUAUAAUUGACAUCUAUAAAGUCAAUGUAUUCUUCUAUGUUCAUCUUUGGAUCUUUUUUGACUUUAGUUACAGUCCUUGUUGAAAAGAGUAAUACCGUGGUAGUUGUUUGGAUUUAUAUUUUGAUGAGGGUGAUAGUAUUAUCUAUAUUAAAGAUAAAAAAGAUCUUAUAUAGUUACAAUUAUAUAGAAUUAAAUCAUAAU